AAAGCUGAGCUGUGAUGACGAGGGAACUAUAGUACCGAAGUUCCUGAUUCCACACUGCCAAGAAAAGCCUCUAGCGAGGCGGGAGGUGCCCGUACCGCAAACCGACACAGGUAGGCGAGGAGAGAAUCCUAAGGUGAUCGAGAGAACUCUCGUUAAGGAACUCGGCAAAAUGACCCCGUAACUUCGGGAGAAGGGGUGCUCUGGUAGGGUGUAUAGCCCGAGAGAGCCGCAGUGAAUAGGCCCAGGCGACUGUUUAGCAAAAAC
RNAcentral lists this ribosomal RNA (264 nucleotides) under Priestia megaterium. Its description in RNAcentral is "Bacillus megaterium partial 23S ribosomal RNA". It matches the Rfam family "Bacterial large subunit ribosomal RNA", at positions 1552 to 1814 of the family's 2925-position model. Lineage: Bacteria; Bacillati; Bacillota; Bacilli; Caryophanales; Bacillaceae. The record is from RNAcentral.